RNAcentral lists this long non-coding RNA (202 nucleotides) under Parus major (Great Tit). RNAcentral describes it as "lncRNA (ENSPMJG00000015614.1)". The record is from RNAcentral. Lineage: Eukaryota; Metazoa; Chordata; Aves; Passeriformes; Paridae.
GAUGGGAGACAGCUGAAAGCGAAUGAUAUGUUGAAGAAAAAUAAACGUGAAUUUGUGACCUGCAGCAGAAGAAUUUGCCCAUUGAUACCAACAGAGAGACAACCACUGCUAACCAUGCUUUCAAAGCACCACAGUUACCAGUGCUUCCAUACAAACUAACGAUGAUAAUGGUGACAGCACUACCCAGCACACGGGAUUCCUG